This 227-nucleotide long non-coding RNA is filed under the name Elaeis guineensis (African oil palm). RNAcentral describes it as "long non-coding RNA (EGUI_LNC074454)". Lineage: Eukaryota; Viridiplantae; Streptophyta; Magnoliopsida; Arecales; Arecaceae. The record is from RNAcentral.
AAAUUAUAAGGUCCUAUAUCUCGAUGGAACUAAACUUUUGUAAAAUUAUUUUGAAGUCAAAUAUUUGGUUUAGAAGUUAAUCAUGGAUAUUCUAUGAUCAAUGAUGAUUUUUAAGAGAAUUUUAUGGAAUGAUUUUGAAUGUUUAAAUGAGUUUAAUAUUGAUGAGAAAAUUUUAGAAGAUUGAUUAUGCUCACAAGCUAAUUAAUUUGGACCUUCUGAUUCAGUGA